RNAcentral lists this ribosomal RNA (492 nucleotides) under uncultured bacterium. Its description in RNAcentral is "partial 16S ribosomal RNA". It matches the Rfam family "Bacterial small subunit ribosomal RNA", at positions 28 to 507 of the family's 1533-position model. The record is from RNAcentral.
GAUGAACGCUAGCUACAGGCUUAACACAUGCCAGUCGAGGGGAAACGGCAUCGAAAGCUUGCUUUUGAUGGGCGUCGACCGGCGCACGGGUGAGUAACGCGUAUCCAACCUGCCCAUCACUUGGGAAUAACCUUGCGAAAGUAAGACUAAUGCCCAAUGACAUCCCACGAAGGCAUCCGAAUGGGAUUAAAGAUUUAUCGGUGAUGGAUGGGGAUGCGUCUGAUUAGCUUGUUGGCGGGGUGACGGCCCACCAAGGCAACGAUCAGUAGGGGUUCUGAGAGGAAGGUCCCCCACAAUGGAACUGAGACACGGUCCAAACUCCUACGGGAGGCAGCAGUGAGGAAUAUUGGUCAAUGGGCGAGAGCCUGAACCAGCCAAGUAGCGUGCAGGAGGACGGCCCUAUGGGUUGUAAACUGCUUUUAUAAGGGAAUAAAGUGGGUCACGUGUGACUUUUUGCAUGUACCUUAUGAAUAAGGACCGGCUAAUUCCGUG